AGAGAAUAGAUACCCGGGUAGUCCAUGCUGUAAACGAUGAAGACUGGAUGUUGGAGGGUUAAAACUCUUCAGUAUCGAAAGCUAACGCGAUAAGUCUUCCGCCUGGGGAGUACGGCCGCAAGGCUAAAACUCAAAGGAAUUGACGGGGGCCGCACAAGCGGUGGAGCAUGUGGUUUAAUUCGAUGCAACGCGAAGAACCUUACCUACUCUUGACAUACCUAUGAAUCCCGAACGAGAUUUGGGUAGUGCCGAAAGGAGCAUAGAGACAGGUGCUGCAUGGCUGUCGUCAGCUCGUGUCGUGAGA
Molecule: ribosomal RNA, 304 nt
Filed under: uncultured bacterium
Lineage: Bacteria
Description: bacterial SSU rRNA
Rfam family: Bacterial small subunit ribosomal RNA
Source: RNAcentral